ACGAACGCUGGCGGCGUGCUUAACACAUGCAAGUCGAACGGAAAGGCCCUGCUUUUGUGGGGUGCUCGAGUGGCGAACGGGGGAGUAACACGUGAGUAACCUGCCCCUGACCUUGGGAUAACUUCAGGAAACCGGGGCUAAUACCGGAUAGGAGCUCCUGCUGCAUGGUGGGGGGUGGAAAGUUUCGGCGGUUGGGGAUGGACUCGCGGCUUAUCAGCUUGUUGGUGGGGUAGUGGCUUACCAAGGCUUUGACGGGUAGCCGGCCUGAGAGGGUGACCGGCCACAUUGGGACUGAGAUACGGCCCAGACUCCUACGGGAGGCAGCAGUGGGGAAUAUUGCACAAUGGGCGGAAGCCUGAUGCAGCAACGCCGCGUGCGGGAUGACGGCCUUCGGGUUGUAAACCGCUUUCGCCUGUGACGAAGCGUGAGUGACGGUAAUGGGUAAAGAAGCACCGGCUAACUACGUG
RNAcentral lists this ribosomal RNA (467 nucleotides) under uncultured bacterium. RNAcentral describes it as "partial 16S ribosomal RNA". It matches the Rfam family "Bacterial small subunit ribosomal RNA", at positions 29 to 507 of the family's 1533-position model. The record is from RNAcentral.